Molecule: long non-coding RNA, 169 nt
Organism: Maniola jurtina (meadow brown)
Lineage: Eukaryota; Metazoa; Arthropoda; Insecta; Lepidoptera; Nymphalidae
Exons: 3
Source: RefSeq, a predicted model, not a curated record
AAUCAUAACUAGAGCCUCGAUAGCUCAACGGUUGAGGAGCGGACUGAAUUCCGAAAGGUCGGCGGAUCAAACCCCACCCGUUGCACUAUUGUCGUACCCACUCCCGGCACAAGCCUUACGCUUCAUUGGAGGGGAAAGGUGAGUAUUAGCAUGGCUAAUAUUCUUUAAA